GGAGGAGUGCCCGGAAUGGUAACGGAGCGCUUUCGAAAAGCGUCGUGCGCAAGCACUUGGAGGUUCGAGUCCUCUCUCCUCCG
RNAcentral lists this transfer RNA (83 nucleotides) under Candidatus Kaiserbacteria bacterium. RNAcentral describes it as "tRNA-Ser". It matches the Rfam family "tRNA". Rfam says of the family: Transfer RNA (tRNA) molecules are approximately 80 nucleotides in length. Their secondary structure includes four short double-helical elements and three loops (D, anti-codon, and T loops). Lineage: Bacteria; Candidatus Kaiseribacteriota. The record is from RNAcentral.